Molecule: non-coding RNA, 125 nt
Organism: Brachypodium distachyon (stiff brome)
Lineage: Eukaryota; Viridiplantae; Streptophyta; Magnoliopsida; Poales; Poaceae
Source: Rfam
AAGAUACUCCCUCUGAUCCUAAAUUAUUGACUCAAAUUUGCCCAAAUAUGGAUGUAUCUAUUCUUAAAAAGCGUCUAGAUACAUGUAAUAUUUGGACAACAAUUUAGGAUCGGAGGGAGUAUAUU